AAACUUAAAUGAAUUGACGGGGAGCACACAACGGGUGGAGCUUGCGGUUUAAUUGGAUUCAACGCCGGAAAUCUUACCGGGACCGACAGCAAUAUGAAGGCCAGGCUGAAGACUUUGCCGGAUUAGCUGAGAGGUGGUGCAUGGCCGUCGUCAGUUCGUACUGUGAAGCAUCCUGUUAAGUCAGGCAACGAGCGAGACCCACGCCCACAGUUGCCAGCGUACUCUCUGGAGUGACGGGUACACUGUGGGGACCGCCGCUGCUAAAGCGGAGGAAGGAAUGGGCAACGGUAGGUCAGUAUGCCCCGAAUAUCCCGGGCUACACGCGAGCUACAAUGGUUGGUACAAUGGGUAUCUACCCCGAAAGGGGACGGGAAUCUCCUAAAACCAAUCUUAGUUCGGAUUGAGGGCUGCAACUCGCCCUCAUGAAGCUGGAAUCCGUAGUAAUCGCGUUUCAACAGAACGCGGUGAAUACGUCCCUGCUCCUU
Molecule: ribosomal RNA, 485 nt
Filed under: uncultured Methanosaeta sp.
Lineage: Archaea; Methanobacteriati; Methanobacteriota; Methanomicrobia; Methanotrichales; Methanotrichaceae
Description: bacterial SSU rRNA
Rfam family: Archaeal small subunit ribosomal RNA
Source: RNAcentral